UCUUACCAAUGACUUGUAGGAA
This 22-nucleotide non-coding RNA is filed under the name Rattus norvegicus (Norway rat). Lineage: Eukaryota; Metazoa; Chordata; Mammalia; Rodentia; Muridae. The record is from RNAcentral.